GAACCAAUCGAGCAUAUCUUUAGUUUGGCUGCAUCAUUUUUCCAUGUGGACUGCUUCCCAAAAAUGAAACCAGAUAAUCUCCAGAAAACUUCAGCAUGACAUCUCAAAGUCCCCUUCUACAGGCAUGGCAGAAAGCCUGUAGCUGUCGUAGGCCGCUAGCGAACAUCCGAGGCCGCCCGUCCUCGCGAAUCUGCGACGUGGGCCAUUCUCAACAUCCAUGACUGUCGUCCCAUUUGGAGGUAACCAGCUACUUCGAGGAAACGCCACAAGCAGCAAAAUCACUUAAUCGUACUUACAUUGCCUAUAUUUCUUCAAGUCUAUCACUGUAGGCUGCUUCUUCUGUCCUUCUUGUAGAAUUGGAAAUAAAAGAAAGUCAUUAUUAUUCAGAUUAAUGUACACAAAUCAAAACAUUUUUAUACACAAUUUUUUUUUAUUUAAACAUUUUCUCAUUGUUGAAGGACUGGUCUGUGAACUUGAAUAUGAAGAACAGCAAUAAAAUAAAAGGGUUUCUUUGUUGUAGACCAAGUAAAUUUGACAUUUUCCAUCUCUUAUUC
RNAcentral lists this long non-coding RNA (554 nucleotides) under Mytilus galloprovincialis (Mediterranean mussel). Lineage: Eukaryota; Metazoa; Mollusca; Bivalvia; Mytilida; Mytilidae. The record is from RNAcentral.